GCUGUGCCAUGUGGCUUACGAGAUGUUAGUUCCCCGACCACGGAUCAAACCCGGCUCCUCGGCAAUGAAGGCAUGGAGUCCUAAGCACUGGACCGCCAGGGAAUUCCCAAUAUAUUUUUAAAAUAUAAAGACAUUUUAUUUGAUUUAUUUUUUGGCCGUGCCACACAGCAUGUGGGAUCUUAGUUACCUGACCAGGGACUGAACCCACGCCCCCUGCAGUGGAAGCGCAAAUCUUAACCACCUGACCACCAGGGAAAUCCCAAGCCAGAUAUUCUUGCUCAUAUAUUGCGGCCCUUCUCCACGUAAGGAAGUCUUUUACGUGAGUUUGUACAUGUCAUUUGACAGGUCCAAAGUCAUGUUCUAUAGUGAGUCUUCACCAACUCAGAAGAACAAAUACAAUGCUAGAAGGAGCUCAUGGGAUGCAUGAGCUCCUUCUGUUUUCCAAGGUUCCAGAAUUACUUGGAGUGAGUUUAGAAAGCUUAAAUAAGGUCGGUGUUAAGGUUGUUUACAGAGACCCUCGUUCCUCAAACAGCUUCCUGUAAUUACCCCACGAAUAAGAAUAACCAAUGCGUGUCCGUUUGGGCCUCUUCCUCAGCAUGAGGCCCAUGAUGAAGCCAUGAGGACAUGGUAAGAACAUAAUGUGCCUCCCAUCAUUGCCCAAGGACUCCAGGACAGGUUUCUCUCUCUGACCUCUGCUUACCAAGACUCCCACGUGGAGGAGGGAGAAACAGCAAGAAUCACUGCCCCCAAAUGUUAGCUAUCGUUACCAGUGGAAAAGGGGACUGGUGGAGGAGGGGUGGAAGAUUUCUCUUUUAAAUAUGCACUUGUGUAUUGCUUGAAUUCUGUUAAACAAACUAUUUCAUAACCCCUUCUACUGCACACAACCACUCCUUGGAUCAAGAACCACUCACCGAGAAGACCAAGACUGAGGCGUGAGCAGAGGACCCACUUGCCUGGAUGCGAUCAACUUGCUAAAAGCAGACGGGAAUAAGGAUCUCUACAGUGGGCAAUCUCUCACCUAAAAUACUACAAUCGACUUAAAGCCCUUCCGGAUUAAAAAAGACCAGAAGGAGUUAUGCUGAUGGGGAGAAAGCCACAUCACGAAAGAGUCUUUGACCCCACUCACAAGAAAGAUAUUUUUCAAGAUAUAUCCAUUAGUAUUUUUAAAAAGUCAUUCCUCAAACCUUAGCUGCACCCAACAUAACAAAUAAAAAGAUACAAACCUUGUUGAGGCAGUCUUCGCAGUAAAGUGAGCCCUUUAAACAAACCGGAGGUACCACAUUUAGGUGCAAAGAGUUGGUGCAUAAGUGAGGCGUUAGCUCCGACUGUGAAAUGUGCUCUUCCAAGUGCCCAGGAGCCCCACUUGUGAAAUCAGAACAGGGGAAAUAGCCAGCGGAGGAGGUGCAGCCCUGGAGAGCUGGAAACUGAUGCAGCUUGUGCACAUUACCAUGACAUGACUGGAAAUGGAGCUUUCCACAACAGGGCAGGUGUUUGCAGGGAGAGAGAUUACUUUCUAGACACAUGCUGGGAAAGUCACUUGCAACGCUGGCCAAACUGUUCCUAGCUGAGGCACUCUGGAGUGAAGAUGCAGACUGGAAAGCAAACCCUGACCCCACCUGACACGUGACUGUCCUGGUGCUUUGCGAGUCUAACAGUGCGCCUGGGGGAAUCAAGCUACCAGUCCCACCGCCACCGCCACCACCAAAACGCAUUGGCGAAGUGGAGGGGUCAUUAGGGCAAUGGGCACAGCAGCUUACUUUGGGGACAGUUGAAAGCUGUAUUUUAGGUUGCUGAAGAGAAUGGAUAUCUGGAAGUGGGACUGCUGGAAAAAGUUUAGAGCCAGCAUGAAGGGGAGAUGGUACAUCCUUUAAUUCCACAGCAGCUUUCUUGUUCUCCAUGUAAUCUUUCUGAGAAAAGAAAACCAGAACACAAAUUAAUUUUAUGAGGCUAGUGACUUGGGGAUACUCACAUCUGAUUGCAUUAAAAAAUGGAAACAGUGUUCAAACCUAUCUACAUCACUCCGUCAUAACCACACAAAAUCACAACCACAAAAAUGGAAUGGCAGCUAAAACCAGGAGCAUUCUUCAGCAGGAGGUGAACAUUGAAACAGACAACUAAAAUUACAACUGUGUCCUUCCUGAAUUUUAAGAGACUUGGGGAGGGGGUCUGUUUACAUAUUCAA
Molecule: long non-coding RNA, 2182 nt
Organism: Globicephala melas (long-finned pilot whale)
Lineage: Eukaryota; Metazoa; Chordata; Mammalia; Artiodactyla; Delphinidae
Source: RefSeq, a predicted model, not a curated record